This 762-nucleotide ribosomal RNA is filed under the name uncultured bacterium. RNAcentral's name for it is "bacterial SSU rRNA". It matches the Rfam family "Bacterial small subunit ribosomal RNA", at positions 47 to 798 of the family's 1533-position model. The record is from RNAcentral.
CCUAACACAUGCAAGUCGAACGGUAACAGGAAACAGCUUGCUGUUUCGCUGACGAGUGGCGGACGGGUGAGUAAUGUCUGGGAAACUGCCUGAUGGAGGGGGAUAACUACUGGAAACGGUAGCUAAUACCGCAUAACGUCGCAAGACCAAAGAGGGGGACCUUCGGGCCUCUUGCCAUCAGAUGUGCCCAGAUGGGAUUAGCUAGUAGGUGGGGUAACGGCUCACCUAGGCGACGAUCCCUAGCUGGUCUGAGAGGAUGACCAGCCACACUGGAACUGAGACACGGUCCAGACUCCUACGGGAGGCAGCAGUGGGGAAUAUUGCACAAUGGGCGCAAGCCUGAUGCAGCCAUGCCGCGUGUAUGAAGAAGGCCUUCGAGUUGUAAAGUACUUUCAGCGGGGAGGAAGGGAGUAAAGUUAAUACCUUUGCUCAUUGACGUUACCCGCAGAAGAAGCACCGGCUAACUCCGUGCCAGCAGCCGCGGUAAUACGGAGGGUGCAAGCGUUAAUCGGAAUUACUGGGCGUAAAGCGCACGCAGGCGGUUUGUUAAGUCAGAUGUGAAAUCCCCGGGCUCAACCUGGGAACUGCAUCUGAUACUGGCAAGCUUGAGUCUCGUAGAGGGGGGUAGAAUUCCAGGUGUAGCGGUGAAAUGCGUAGAGAUCUGGAGGAAUACCGGUGGCGAAGGCGGCCCCCUGGACGAAGACUGACGCUCAGGUGCGAAAGCGUGGGGAGCAAACAGGAUUAGAUACCCUGCUAGUCCAC